UGAGGAAUAUUCCGCAAUGGACGAAAGUCUGACAGAGCAAUACCGCGUGAAGGAUGAAGGCCUCCGGGUUGUAAACUUCUUUUCUCAAGGAGGAAGAACUGACGUUACUUGAGGAAUAAGCAUCGGCUAACCCUGUGCCAGCAGCCGCGGUAAUACAGGGGAUGCAAGUGUUAUCCGGAUUCAUUGGGCGUAAAGCGUCGGUAGGUGGCGAGAUAAGUCUGUUGUUAAAUCUUUGGGCUUAACCCAAAA
RNAcentral lists this ribosomal RNA (249 nucleotides) under uncultured bacterium. RNAcentral's name for it is "partial 16S ribosomal RNA". It matches the Rfam family "Bacterial small subunit ribosomal RNA", at positions 355 to 619 of the family's 1533-position model. The record is from RNAcentral.